CGUACAUCGGGCUUAGAUCUAUGUUUUACCCAGACACCCCGGUUCUGCAUACGCCAUUUUGAACAUUGUUAACUAAGUUCGUCAUUUGUCUGAAAACCGCAGAGAGAGGAGGAAACGGCGCCGAUGAAAUAUAACGUGAAACUGGAUGUCUGCUGGAAAUAUUGCCAAUAAUUUUACACAGAAAGGUUUAACGUAUUUUACUCAAAAUUCUAUGUACGAUUCAUUUUCUACGAAUUGAUCUGAAAUUGCUGUAAAAUUGAUAAAUAAAGCACUCAUUUAUUUUUUAA
Long non-coding RNA from Physella acuta, 287 nucleotides. RefSeq lists it as uncharacterized. The record is from RefSeq and is a predicted model, not a curated record. Lineage: Eukaryota; Metazoa; Mollusca; Gastropoda; Physidae.